UUUGUUCCAAACUCGAACCCUAAGUUACCUAUUUAAUCUAUACAACAUUUCAAUUGACUCCUUGACUUUUACAACUUUUUAUAUUAAUUCCUUUGCCUAAGAAUUGCCAGUACAAUAAAAUCCUAAUAUACAGACAUUCAAUUCAAGUUAGAUUUAUCAUUAUAGCUUCUCCGAUGAUAAUACACCAAAGUCAUAAAACUCCCUCACUCAAAAUGCAAUAAUAUAGAGAUGUCAUGUAUAUGCUUGACAAUCUUUGCUAGAGGAAAAAACUUCUUGGUGAUUUUUUGAACCAGCUUUAUCCCUUAAAGAGUGAGGAAAAAAACCUAUUUUGAUUGCUUCUUUAUUCACCCCUCGGUAUAUAAAGUCAAAACAAAUCUCCUGUAAACGGUGAGGUGAGAAUAUGGAUUCUCGUCCACUUUUUCGAAAAACGAUAUGCUAUUUUGGAACACGUUGAUGACACCUAGUCUCAGUUGAAUGUUUGAAUUCUCAUAAGGAUUAUAUAUGAUGCUCGAUUGAUUCUCAACAAUAGAAGAGUCAUGAAGUCCUCCCAACGGUAAGUCGUCCUUUUCAAAUUCAUGAUCUCCCAUCUCAUAUUAUUGUAGUUCCAUUGCUUCUCGUUGUUCCUUAACAUCAAAUUGAAAC
Molecule: long non-coding RNA, 642 nt
Filed under: Olea europaea subsp. europaea
Lineage: Eukaryota; Viridiplantae; Streptophyta; Magnoliopsida; Lamiales; Oleaceae
Source: RNAcentral